RNAcentral lists this long non-coding RNA (606 nucleotides) under Brassica rapa (field mustard). RNAcentral describes it as "long non-coding RNA (BRAP_LNC000699)". Lineage: Eukaryota; Viridiplantae; Streptophyta; Magnoliopsida; Brassicales; Brassicaceae. The record is from RNAcentral.
GAGAACAGAAUUUGGUCCCAAAAACAGAGAUCAUUGUGACUUUGUGAGGUGUUUUACUUAUAACAGAUAGGUCAUACCUUGUUCUAAAAAUCGACCCCCUAGCCGUUUGAGCUUUACACGUCAUUCUUCCGCUCCGAUUUAUGCCAAAUUGGUUAAAAAAUCGGAUAUCCGAUUUUUUCCGCCUAGACCGUCUAAAUGACCGCCUAGCCGCCUAGGCGACCGCCUAAUCUAUUUUUUAAUUAUUUUUUAUUUUUAUUUUAUUUUUAAUAAUAUUUUUAUUAAUUAUUUGAUCUAAAAUUUUAUAAAUAUCAUUUAUAUUCAUAAUUUUGAUGAAAAUUACACUAUAUUAAGUUUAUAUAUUCUAUUUGUGUUUUAUACAGUCUUAAACAUGAAAAUGUAUUAAUGUUAUACAUAAUUGAAGAUUAACAUAUUUUUUUAACACAGUAAACAAUCUAAAAAUUUUAUCCCGAAUAAUUUUCGAUUAAUUCUCGAUUUUUUUUAGCCGCUAGGUCCAAUCUGACCGUCCGAUUAGCGCUUAGCGCAUUCUCAAACAGGGGGUCAUAUUAAUACGGGAGCUAAUAUAGGUGUAGCUAUAAAAGAACAAAG